RNAcentral lists this long non-coding RNA (1323 nucleotides) under Nicotiana tabacum (common tobacco). RNAcentral's name for it is "long non-coding RNA (NTAB_LNC017108)". The record is from RNAcentral. Lineage: Eukaryota; Viridiplantae; Streptophyta; Magnoliopsida; Solanales; Solanaceae.
AAGGUUCAAAAUAGAUUUGGAAAUUGAUUUUCUUGGACUCUUAGCAUAUAUGGAUUACUUAAGUGUCUGAAGAAAUUACUUGAUGCAAAUAAUAACAUACAACCAGAAAGAGAUAUAUGGUGUGAUUUUUGGCGGACAAGAAUUCAACCGGCUUAAGUUAUCUAGUGUUAGCAAAGGAAGUUUGGACAAGAACAUCUGGAAUUUCAUAAAAGGCUUCAUAUUAAAAUAGCAACGUGAGUUCUUGGUUAGUAAAGGAACUCUUACGAAAUUAUAUUGUGUAAUCCUAGCAGGAUUUUGUGAUUUUAAGAGAGCACGGUACAAUCUUUCCCAAGAAUAUCAUACGAAUUUUUUCCUACUCCAGGUAUGUUAAGGCUAAGCUCUUCUUUCAUUUGGCAUGAUCUCGUCAUUACAUUCAUAUCCCGAAAUUUACGUAUAUUUUGCUAGUCUCACAAAUUGCGUAUAUUUUUCUAGUGUUGUAAGUUAUAAUAUUCUCCUUAUCGGGAUUUCAUAUUCAGUUGAGUAUUUCCUUCUUAUAGUCAAGAGAGCAGAGAAGUUUAUAUAUAUAGUAUUAAAAGUAUUUUCAUUACUAUCGAGCUAUAAUCGAUGGGCAGGCCCCUAUUGGGCAACCUCUGAUUAGAUGACAAGUUAUAUACCGAGUCUACUGUAGCCGAGCGCUUAUGAGCGAGCCUAGUUGGUCGAGAUAUAGAGCCUAGUAUGGCCGAACGCGUAUGAGCGAGCCUACUACGACAGAGAAGUUAUAUAUAUAUAUAUAUACCGAGCCUACUGUGGCCGUGCACGUAUAAGCGAGCCCAAUUGGUCGAGAUACAGAGCCUAGUAUGGCCGAGCGCUUAUGAGCGAGCCUACUACGGCAGAGCAGAUAUAUAUAUAUAUAUAUGUAUACCGAGCCUUAUAGGGCCGGAAAACUAUUUUACUUACUAUAUUGAGAGAAUUGAGUCAGUAUCAGCAGGUAAGCAUAUCUUUAGAUUAUCUUUGAUUUCCAGCUACUUGCAGUUAUUAUAUUAUCAGUUCAGUUUCAGCUUUCAGUAUAUUGCCUUACAUACUCAGUACAUUAUUUCUUACUGACGUCCCUUUUGUGGGGGCACUGCAUUUCAUGUGUGCAGUUCAGACAGACAGACAAGUAGGCCUCUUCAAUAAGUGUUGCCCGAGCUCAGCUUGAUCGGUAAGCUCCAUGCCUUUCGGAGUUUCCGGGUCUAGAGCCUUAUGUAUAUCUUGUAUAUAUAUGUAUAUAUGUCAUGAGUAGGUCGGAUAACUGUUCCGAUCAUAGUAUAUCCAUUAGUAGAGGCUUGUAGACAUAUCUUGUCA